GUGGGGAAUAUUGGGCAAUGGGGGAAACCCUGACCCAGCAACGCCGCGUGAGGGAAGAAGGUUUUCGGAUUGUAAACCUCUGUCCUUGGUGACGAAGGAAGUGACGGUAACCAAGGAGGAAGCCCCGGCUAACUACGUGCCAGCAGCCGCGGUAAUACGUAGGGGGCAAGCGUUGUCCGGAAUGACUUGGCGUAAAGGGCGUGUAGGCGGCCGAUUAAGUCUGGAGUGAAAGUCCUGCUUUCAAGGUGGGAAUUGCUUUGGAGACUGGUUGGCUUGAGUGCGGAAGAGGUAAGUGGAAUUCCCAGUGUAGCGGUGAAAGGCGUAGAGAUUGGGAGGAACACCAGUGGCGAAGGCGACUUACUGGGCCGUAACUGACGCUGAGGCGCGAAAGCGUGGGGAGCGAACAGGAUUAGAAACCCGUGUAGUCC
RNAcentral lists this ribosomal RNA (428 nucleotides) under uncultured bacterium. RNAcentral's name for it is "partial 16S ribosomal RNA". It matches the Rfam family "Bacterial small subunit ribosomal RNA", at positions 354 to 796 of the family's 1533-position model. The record is from RNAcentral.